RNAcentral lists this ribosomal RNA (468 nucleotides) under uncultured bacterium. Its description in RNAcentral is "partial 16S ribosomal RNA". It matches the Rfam family "Bacterial small subunit ribosomal RNA", at positions 28 to 507 of the family's 1533-position model. The record is from RNAcentral.
GACGAACGCUGGUGGCGUGCUUAACACAUGCAAGUCGAACGGAAAGGCCCUGCUUUUGUGGGGUGCUCGAGUGGCGAACGGGUGAGUAACACGUGAGUAACCUGCCCUUGACUUUGGGAUAACUUCAGGAAACUGGGGCUAAUACCGGAUAGGAGCUCCUGCUGCAUGGUGGGGGUUGGAAAGUUUCGGCGGUUGGGGAUGGACUCGCGCCUUAUCAGCUUGUUGGUGGGGUAGUGGCUUACCAAGGCUUUGACGGGUAGCCGGCCUGAGAGGGUGACCGGCCAAAUUGGGACUGAGAUACGGCCCAGACUCCUCCGGGAGGCAGCAGUGGGGAAUAUUGCACAAUGGGCGGAAGCCUGAUGCAGCAACGCCGCGUGCGGGAUGACGGCCUUCGGGUUGUAAACCGCUUUCGCCUGUGACGAAGCGUGAGUGACGGUAAUGGGUAAAGAAGCACCGGCUAACUACGUG